AAUGGAAGACUCGGAGGUUAGUGAUUAGCAAGCAGCAAUAAAGUACAGGUUGUUAAAGAAAAUUUAAUGCGAUGUAUUUUGUGGCCAUCAUCAGAUUACUCAAGAGGUUUGACCCAGUCAACGCUGCCCCAACCCUACAUACCACGAAAGAGAACAGAAGAGCACAAUGAUUUGGGCGAUGAAGGCUUCGGUACGAAAGUGCUCGGAUGACCACGGAUGCAAGAGGUCCGAGUAAAGACCAGAAUUACGAGCGGGCAUUGUGGUCAACCGUUCAAUAUCUGUCCGAUGUGCAAGUGCGGAGCCUGUAGAAUAAAGUCAUGUCUGCUGAAAGUGUCGGUGACGCGCGUCGACGAAGCGGGGGGAACAGAUUGGCGGGUGAAGCCAGCCAUAGUGCGAUGACUUAGCGGGCAAUGCGCCGUAGGUGCGACAGAUCGAAAGCAUAAAUCUAGUAGGGCGCGCUUAGCUACGCUUGGUAAAGAUGAACUUAUUUCAGAAAAGACGGUCGACCGGGGCGGAGCGUGGUUAACUAAAAGCCUAGGAGAAAGUUGAUGGCAUAACGUGUUGAUGUCCAGGCGUACAUAGUGGGAGGUCCGGCGUGUGGGGCACAUCAAGCAGUUUGAAGAUGAAAUGGGCUCCUUGAUGCGGCUCCGCAGGGAUUUAUUGGGGCUUUCAAUGUUCCGAAAGAUUGCAUCGUGAUUUGUAAAGUUGGUCAGAAUGCCAAUUACAUGGGGGCAUACCAGGCACGUGCCUGGCAAGCGAGUUGCAGCAUACAAUUGUGAAGACCAUGGGCAUUUCGAGAUGGGCUCUAAUGUUAUAGAGAAGAUAGAACCAGCCUCGUCGAGAACACAAAGGUAUGUUUUUAGGUCCGGUAUCGGGAGCAUGGUUCACAAAAUGGGUCGAAGGCCGCCGUAGCCAUUAAACAAAUGUAGACAAACGGGGGCUGUGAAUAGAUUUGUCGCAACGUUAUAUCAUCUGCCAGAUUUGGCAUCGCCAACAACAAUUACAACCGAACAGGGGUCAGUUCACUGGUUCCGAAAAGUGCAAGAUUUUGCAAAAGAAAAUGGGAAUGGCAAAUUAACUGCGGACUGUCUACCCUAUGGUACGCCCAGGUACUGGCGCAAGUGCGAGGAGCCUGCUAAUAAGGGGUGAUCAUCAUGCUAAUAAAGGGGAACACAUCAGGAAAGAAGCGAAGGGAAAUUGGCAUACCAGACGUGUAGAGCCCUGCAGCUUUGGGGCAGUGUUCGACGGUCACCCAAGAAAGCAACUGGAGAGCAACUCCAUUUCGACGUGGUGUAUGGGGCCAUGACGGCAGGUGUUGGCCGAGUAAGUAGGAUUCAGGUCACGGGCGGUCGGAACCCAAAGGCAGUAUGCAAAUCGACCUUCGUGAAGAUUACUGCAGUAUGAUGACAGACGAACUGGUGCGACGUAGAUGAAAAGAAAGAAUGUUAGCUUUGGAUUCCUGACCAAAGGUACGAAAGAAAAAGCGUCAGAGGCCUACGAUCGAAAAAGGUGAAAAGGGUGAAAGUGUUUGCUGGUCGAGACGGAUCUGGUUUGGAGACGUGGACUGCCAUGGACAGAAAAUGAUAGAGUCUUGAGUAAAUGGUCAGCCUAAUUGAGGCAAGGGACGCCGAGUUUAAGGGUUUGUGUUGAGGCCUUUGUCUCAAGCGAACGCCUGUACGAGGGGUCGAGGAGUUGGCGCCCGCAGAAAGGUGAUCCUAAGAGUGAAUGGAAAGUACUGUGAAAAAUCUAGGCCGUCCUUGUCGCACCUCCGAAAGACUUACAGCGACUUAUAAGGCGAAGCGCACAUGCGACCCGCUCGGAUCGCGCAUGAUGGACAAAACAGAGUCGCCAACCGGAGAACUUUAUCUUAUUCCUCAAAGGAAAGGAGAAAUACGAUAAAACCGCAAGGAAAGAACGACAAUGAUAUGGUCAGUGGCGGGCAACGCAAUACAGGGUUCGGGGUGCCGUACGGCAAGGGAAGGUAUUAGCACCGCCUUGACGUCCGUUGUAACUGCCACCGGGGAAGCAGUUAGGGGUAGUUGGCGCGGUUAUUGUUAGCUUGAGAAAUGUAGGCUUCUCGAGUUAUUAGGUGGGGAAAAGAAGAAAGGAUGAGAAGAGAAUAUUUUUUGGAUUUUUAAAACGGAUUAAAACCUAAGUUUUUUAUUAAUGGGCCUUGACAUGAUUUUGCAAUCCCUGCUCCUGGCGGGGACGUAUGUCAAUAAGGAUGAACUCAGAGGCCGUGUAUGUGAGUUGCUCGGUAGUGAAACAUAUUUGUUUGUUGGGGAUUGUUAGCAAAGCCCUCGCACCUACUUGGCCUUAUACCUGACGAAAGACAUGUCUUUGACGCCAAACAAGAUGGAGGAGCGGACCUGGCCCGUAUCGACCAUCAAUGCGCACCACUGAGUGGAUUUAUUAGAGGCGAAAUGUGCAACACCAUUCGGGAACGUAAUGUUACUCAGACUUAUCCACUUCAUCAAUUAAUUGUGUACAGCGGCACAAGCCAUUGCUAUCCAAUUUCUGUAAUGUAAGACAAUUCAUCUAAUCCACCGUUUAGCAAAGCAGUUUUAGAUUAAAUCAGCACAGGCGGCAGAAGAUGACGUAUUUGUGAUUGGAUGAAUGUGAUUUGUGUAUGCAGAGUAUGCCCUAUGAAAGUAGCGAGUACAUUAUGACUGCAAAUACUUACAUACGUUUUGUCUAAGCAAUAACUACGGGACUUGCAAAGGCAACUGUCAAUACGAAUUGAUGAUCCGCUUGAACAACCGUCUGGAUAUUGUCUACCACGCAGGUAAAGUUUCUGUGUUUCCUUACCAAAUUGUUGCUUGGUAAAGAGAAUGGUUUGAAUAUUUAACAAGAUGUUUGGCAGGUAAGACCAAACACUUAACUGGCUUAUGACGGAAAAGCUCAUUACAACUGGGGCACAUUAAUAAGCAAAGUCGGCCAAACAACUGCCUCAGGGAACAUAAGACGGCACUCGGGUUGGUAAUUAGUUCCAUGCACGCAGGGUAAUUUACAGUCUGUUCCUAGCUAGCUUAGUAAGAAAAAGAUAUUGAAUAUUUUCAUAGACCGGCGGGCCCUUGCGUUUUGAAGAAUCAAGAACGAUACAUGUAGGGCUUAACACUCGUUACUAUUACUUUGAGGAGAACCUACAAUAAGUAGUCUGGAUUUACGGCUGGCAAUGACUGCAUCAUGGCUAGUGGUCAUGCGGUCCGCUUGUUUCGAUCGAAAUUUUAUUUAGAGAUACGAAAUUAUAAAGUCUUAGACUAUAUAAACAGUGUUAGGUUUGAGAGGAUAAGUUAUUAGAAGGGACAAGACUAAAAAAUAUGGAUUACCUAACCAUUGAGCGCUUCACAUAGCUUGGGCCUAAUAUUAGGAUUACGAACUGGAGAAUAUUCAUCCAGUGUAAUUUUUUCUUUAGAUUUAGUUAUGAAAACGAUUUGAAGUGAUUUGAUGAUUAAUAGAAAAUAGUUUGAAAUUGUAUUGAAGGUGAUUAGAAAAUGAAAUUGAAUGUUGAAACAUGGAAAGUAAGUGAAAUUUGAAUCAAAAGUUAGUGAAUUUUGAAUGUGAUUAUUACAUCUUGACAAUAUGGAAAGAGACGCUACCUAUUAACUGACUAAGCACAUGAAAUGAUUAAACAAAUAAUUUGCUUAAUUAAUUAACUUAACAAAUAAACUCUAACUAAUCAAAAACAAAAUAUUAAAUCAAUAAAUUAACUAAUAUUUUAAAUAAAUAACUCUACAGAUACAUGAAAAUCACCAAAAAUAUAACAUAAAAUAAAAACUAUAAAAAAGAAAAUGAAAAAGAAUGGCAAACAUGAAUAUAUAUAAAAAAUAAUAUAAAUUCCAAAGGGUCAAAUCCAAAACAGUAAACCUAAUUAAAUUAUAUAUAUAAUAUAUAUAUAUAUAUAUAUAUAUAUAUAUAUAUAUAUAUAUAUAUAUAUAUAUAUAUAUAUAAUAUAGUAUAUAUAUAUAUAUAUAGUAUAUAUUAAUAAUAUAUAUAUUUAUAUAUAUAUUAAUAUACUAUCCAGNNNNNNNNNNNNNNNNNNNNNNNNNUAAACUACAAUAAAUGUAACAAAAUAAAUAACAAAUAAAAUUAAAAACUAUAAAAAUAAAAAUAAAACAUAAGAAUGGCAUAAACAUGAAUAUAUAUAAAAAUAAAUAUAAAUUCCAAAUGGGUCAAAUCCAAAACAGUAAACCUAAUUAAUUAAUUAAUUAUAAUAUAUAUAUAUAAUAUUAUAUAUAUAUAUAUAUUAUAUAUAUAUUAUAUAUAUAUAUAUUAUAUAUAUAUAUAUAUAUAUUAUAUAAUCUCUCUCUUUUCCCCAAUUUUUUUUUUUUUUCUCUUUUUUUUGGUUUUAGUUAAUUAUUUGAUUAAAUUUUUGUUUGAUUAGUUAGAGUUUAUUUGGUUAAGUUAAUUAAUUGUUAAGCAAAUUAUUUGUUUAAUCGAUUUCAAUGUGCUUAGUCAGUUAAUUAGGUAGUCUCUUUGUCCAUAUUGUCACAGAUGUAAAUAAUCACAUUCAAAUUCACUAACUUUUUGAUUCAAAUUUCACUUACUUUCCAUAGUUUCAACAUUCAAUUUCAUUUUCUAAUCACCUUCAAAUACAAUUUCAAACUAUUUUUCUAUUAAUCAUCAAAUCACUUCAAAUCGUUUUCAUAACUAAAUCUAAAGAAAAAAAAUUACACUUGAUGGAAUAUCCAGUCGUAAUCCCGAAUAUUAGGCCCAAGCUGUAAGAGCUUGUAAGCCAUAUAUAUUCGUCUUCUCUUCAAAACACUUAUAAUUAUUCAAACUUCUUUUCUCAGUAAAAUCCGAAGAAAAAGAAUACCCUGGAUGAAAUAUCCAGUCGUAAUCACGAAUAUUAGGCCCAAGUUGUAAGAGCUUGUAAGCCUUAUGUAUUCGUCUUCUCUUCAAAACACUCUAAUAUUCAAAUCAUUUUCAUAAGUAAGUUGGAAGAAAAAGAUUACCUGGAUGAAAUAUUCAGUCGUAGUCCCGAAUGCUAGGCCCAAGUUGUAAGAGCUUGUAAGCCAUAAGUGUUCGUCUUCUGUUCGUCUUCCCUCCAAAACACUUGUAAAUAUUCAAACCAUUUUCUUAAUAAAAUUGGAAGAAAAAGAUUACCUGGGUGAAAUAUCCAGACGUAGUCCCGAGUAUUAGACCCAAGUUGUAAGAGCUUCUGAGUCAUAAGUACUCGUCUUUCAAGCCCAAAAAUACAUCCAACCAAUCAAACUCUUUUUCACCGCCGUGCGAUUAAUACAAAAAACCCUUUUCAUAAACGAAAGAGAUCUUGUCUUGAGAUGAUGCAAAGCAAUGCUUCGGCCAUAAUUGUUGAGUUGAGAUAAGUGACGUUUUUUCGAAUGUUGAUUUGUAAAUCCAUUUGAUGUGUGGUAUACGUCUUCUCCUUAUCUGUUUUGGGUAAAACAAUGUUUUUCGUCGAUUAAUACAAUAUAGCUUUCGCUAAAAUCGACCAACAAACAAACAUUUUUCUACCCAGAACUACAUAAGCCUUGAUUUCUCUAUUGAGAUACGUAGGAGCAGGAUUUGUAAAUCUUGUCAGGCCCAUUAAUAAAAAACUUAGGUUUAGUCCCCUUUAUUGCAAAAAUCCAAAAACAUCUUCUCUUUUCUUUUGAUCCUAUCUUUCUUUCCCACCUAAUAUCUUGAGAAGCCCAACAUUUUAAGCUAACACUAACGCACGCAACUAACCUAAUGGUUCCCGUUGAGUACAACGAACGUGAGGGGUGCUAAUACCUUCCCCUUGCGUAAUCGACUCCCGAACCCUGAUUUGGUUGCGACGACCAUAAUCAUUGUCGUUCUUUCUUGGGUUUUAUCAAUAUUUCCCCUUUCCUUUUUAGGAAUAAAUAAAGUUCGGCGGCGACUUUGUUUAGUCCAUCAUGCGAGCGUGCGAUUGCGCUUCGCUAGGUUGUAUUCUCAUUUUUCCAGGUGCGACAUGAUGCUUUACUUUUUAAUUGAUUAAGUCAUUCUUUGGAGAACACCUAACCCUCUAUUCACAAGCAUGGAUCCUUGAACCAAUACAUCUUCCAAAGGAAGGAAAAAAGGUCAAGUUUCCACACAAUACCAUGAAAGGGGGGAGACUUACAAUCUCACUUACUAGAAUGUUAUGCCUUUAGGGUCAAAAUUUAGCUCUAUGUUAAGCAAUCGUAAUUGGACUUAUGUAGAAGUCACAACUAUCUGAGGUCGGGCAAUAGAAAUUUUGGUGUUAAUGCAUGUUAGAGAUAUGGUAUAAUGAACCAUACUCCUAAAACAUACCACACCCAAAAAGAAAAAGAUCAAAGGAUGGACCUAUCUAAUCCAUACUUGUAUUAGUUCAUCUAACAUAAAGUUAUUGAUGAACCAAUUAGCCUUAGGAUAUUGAGACUUCAUUGUUUAAUGGAAAGGAUGGGAGAGAAUGGGAUUAAAGAUGAAGAGGGAAGGGAGAUGAGAGAAACACAAAUUGGUCAUGGGAGGAAUUUUAUCAAAUUAAAAUCAUUCAUUCAUUUUGGGAGAUGAAAUAUACAUUUCAUCAAUCCCCUAAAUCUAAUGGUUUUAACUCAACAAAAGUCAAAUCAACCUUGACCAAGGCCCAAACAGAUAGUUAAACUUCAUAAGUCAAUAAAAAUGGUUCUACAUAAUUAAUCAGUUAAAAAUGCAUUUAAAUUAAAUUUAGUUUGGUCAAAACCUAAAACGUCUUCAAAACACCAAAUAAAUGGCCAAGAGAUUUAUCCUAGGUCAAACAAGAUCAAAGGAUCUUAGACAAAAAAAAUCAUAAUUUUUGAAAAGUCGGAAGUAUUUUUAAAUAAUUAAAAAUAUGCACAAAAACAAUUAAUUCAUGAAAAUAUCAAAAUUAGUCUAAAAAAUAAUUUUAAUUCAGAAAAUGAAGGUGGAAAAUAUUUAUAGAUUUUUGGUGAAAGUCCCAUAUUUUUUGGAUUAAAAAUGAAAUUGAUAUGAAUUAAUUAAAAUAAAUGGAUUAAACAUAAAAAAAAAACAAGGGUCAUUAGAUCUCCCUCAUUAAUUGAGGUGGCAGAUCUGAUGGCCAAGCGCGCGCUAUCCACGAUGGUCCUUAGUCAAUGCACUGCAUGCUUGGUAAUCACUUUGGACGCGUGAGAUUAGAACAUGAGAACCAUAUUAGAUGGUCUGGAUUGAUCUAGCGCACCACCGGAGCCCUAGCUCCGAUCAUCUUCUCCGGUGAUCACCACAGGUCUAGUUCAGGCUCAACUCCAUGUAAAUGAAAUGUGAAUACACUAAUUUGAAGGAAAAAUGCUCCGGAGCACGAAUCUGGCCUCAGUUUUCUCCAAUUUCAAGUAUAUAAAAAGAUACAGGGAUUUGAAUUUUGAGGAUCAUGAAGCGAGUUGCUUCGAUUUUACCUCAAAGUAACUCAAUCUCUUUGCCUACAUUGAUAGGACUUCAGACAACCAAAAAUCAUAAAUAAUGGUGAAGACUUGAGGGAGAAUCGAAGAGAUGAAUUUUUUGAAAAUCCACCUUCAAUGGAGCUUCGAACUUGCUCGAUCUUGAUUCCAAUUGUGCAUGGCCUUGCUUCAGAAGCUUGCUGGAAGUGAUUAGAAUAAAGAAAAGGCAUGGACUCUUGUAGUUUCAAUCUCAAAACAUAUAGAGAUUUGAAACUCGAUUUUCAAAGAAAACCUUCAAGAUUAUCCUUCAAUGGUAAGGGUUUGGAUUGCAGGUUCAAAGCUUGGGCAUGAGGUCCAUAACUUUGAGCAAUGAGGGUUGUAUUUAUAGCCAAGGAUAUUCAUUUCCACAAACUUCCAGAAAUGGAAAAAUUUGAGUAGUUCUCUUUGCAUGCUUGCAUGGGCGUGUGAUAGGCCCAUCAAGUGAUGUAUUCAGGUCCAAAAAUGAGUGAGAAUCAUACUAAAAUCAUAUUGUGAGGCCAUGCAAUCGUGUAUGAAAUGUGGAAGUGAAAAUCAUCCAAAUGGUUCCUCAUAUUGCACCCAUGCACAAGUCCUUCAUCCUUUGGUCAAAUGAGAUGAUCUUGGUUUUUUGGAAAGGUGGGAUCAAGGGGAACAACUUUCAUGUUGAACACUUUUUCAUUUGAAGCUUGUAUCAUGAUGAAUUUUGAGGUGGAAGUUUAGGAAAUCAAACAUAUUUGAAAAUUUUCUAAGUCCCAAGUCAAAUGUCCACUUCUUCCACCUUGAAUAACUUUUUCUAUAGACUUCAAAUGAGAAAAGUUCCUUCAUUAAAGUUGUAUCUAUUUCCAACCUCUUAAAUUUGGUCACAAAUUUGACCUCAUUUGGAUUUGGCAUUAAGUAUUUAUGCAUUUUAGAAAUUGAGGAAAAUCACUUGUUCAAUGGUAUUGACCCAAAAUGACCUAUAAUGUUCCCUCUUGGAACAUACAUUUGCAAGUUGAAUUUGAACUUCCUCAAAACAUCAAAUUUGAAUUAGACAUAUUGAGUUUGAUCAUGGAAUUUUAAUGGCUUUCAUCUCAUAAAAACUGAGCAAGUUAUGGUCUUAGGAAGCUGACCUCCAAACUAGGGUUCACACAAAAUGACCUAUAAUCUUUCACCAUAAAAAAUGACUUUCUAAGAAAACUUAGCUCUUAACUUUAACAUGAAAGUUGUUUGGAAUGUCAUUUUGAGUAAAUUUUCUCUUGAAAUCAUUUUCAUAUGACAAAACUUGUAGGAGAUAGGGUCUAAGGAACCCCGGUUUUGACCAGUUGACUUUCUCUAGUCAACCACCAUGAACCAUCUUGCUAGCUUGACAUUCUCUUGACUUUUGGGGGUCAUGGAGGAUCAUAUAGGCAUAAGAUGAUGUAAUAUUAAGUAUCCCUUGAAAUAUUUGAUCAAUUGUUGAAGAAACUUGUUGAAGAAGUCACACAAGGUACCCAGAUGAAUUAGGGUUUCCAAGGUAAACAAUCUCCAAACUCUUGAUGUAUUCUUGAUCAAAAUGAUAUGUGAAGAUCAUGGGGAUCCAUAUAUUAUGCUUAGAGCCAAAUUUAACUAUUUCUUAAUUUAACUCCUUGCAUUGAGGGUCUCAAACCCUAGAUGUGAUCUUGAUGGAGCAUAGGUGAACACACACACUACCUACAAAAGCAAUAAACUAUACAUUGACAUACUUUUUGGUAUUUUGGUUAGUAAAUAAUGAAAAACAAAUUAUGAUACAAUCAAAAGUGCUUGGUGAUCUCUCCCAAUGCAAACCCAAUGGAUGAGAGGGGUAAGUAGGAUGCCAAGGUGUGAUCCUAAAGCCAAUGCAUAUGAUGAGAUGGCAUGAGGGAUCUUAGGAUCAAAAUUGGGGUCUUACAUUGACUAGGGACUAACUCCUUAUAUCUUCAGUGUUUGGGGAUUUGAAACAAUUCCUUACAUCAUUGGUAAAGUUUUCUUUAAAAGCAUACCACAACAAUUUCAGGUAUUUUAUUUUCAUCAUCCUCAUUCCAAUCUUUUCUAAACAAUAGUUUUAUGAAGACAAGUGAAGAGGGAGAAAUAUUUUUGUUUUCUAACAUAAAUGAAAAAUGAGUGAAUACGAAUAGAUUAAUUUAAAAUAUGCAUAAAUAUUUCAUUAAUCUUACCUAUUCCAAGAACUCAACAAUGCUUAAAAGUAAAUAAACAAUCAAUGUGCAAAUAAAUUACAAAUGGAAAUGUUGAAACAACCAAAUGAUUGCCAACUUUAGGGAAUUGACUUAUUUGUCUGAUCCACAGACUUUAGGGAAUUGACUUCUUGUUUAAUCCACGAACUUUAGGGAAUUGAAUUCUUCAAGCUUGAUCCAUGCCUUACUUUCCAUGUCAUGAGAGAGGGUUGUUUAUGACAUUUAGUCCCAAAUAUUUGAAGCUCAAGAUCUCAUUGUCGACCAACUCACGCGCUCUAUGCUUCAAAGCAUAACAGACCUCUAAGUCAUGUACAAAAGCACCCUCAUAGAAAGGACAAUGAGCACUUGGAUUGUACCAUAAAGGUAAAGAGUCAGGUGGAGUACCCAAGGUUCUUGGAACCACUAGUCCCUUUUGCAGCAAGGAAGGAUAUAGGUCAGUGUACGUCAUGGGGAUUGGAAUGAAUGGGGGUUUACCCUUUUGUCCCAUAUUCUGGUUUGGAGUAUUUUGUAGGCGUGGAGCCUGGACCCUUGGUUGAUGAUAAGUUGUUGCUACAGGUUCUAGUUGGCAUGGAUGUGCUACUUUAUUUGGUUGAUACCCUGGUGCAAAAGGUUGCUGAUAUGCAGCAGAAUCCACUUGCUGGUAAAUGGGUGCCACAACAACUAUACAUGGUUGUUGAUCAAACUGCAUAGGAUAGGUGGUUUAUUAAUAAGUGAGUUGUUGAUGUUGCUUCUUCCAUGAAUGGCUUCUUCUUUGAUUAAAAGACACAACAUUUGUCUCACCUUCCUUUUUCUUCUAAAAACCUCCCGAAAAUUUCCUAGCAUUGUUAUCGGAGGUUUUGGCAGCAAUUAUCAUCUUGCCAUUUUUCAAUCCAACCUCAACCUUUAUACCCACGACAACUAAGUCAGAGAAACUUGAUGAUACGCUACUCACCAUUAUUUCAUAAAACAUAGGCUUCAUAAUGUCCAUGAACCAAUCUUCCAAUUCCUUCUCUGCCAGAGGCAGUUCGACUUGUGAAGCCUCCUCUCUCCACUGUUGUGCGUAUUCCUUGAAAGAUUCGUUAUCUCUCUGGGACAUGCUAAGCAACUGCCUCCUACCCGGGGCCAUAUCCAUGUUAUAUUUGUAGUGCUUAAUGAAGGCAUCAUAUAAGUCUUGGAAACAACGACCGAAUACCAAACAUAUUUCUCUAAUAUUAGCGAAAUAUAAGUCUUGGAAACAACGAUAGUACAUAAUGAGAUGAAUUUUGAGGCAUGAGUGACCCUCGUACUUAUUAAAGUCAGGGGUCUUGGAUUUCGCGGGGAUCACAAGACCGAAUACCAAACAUAUUUCUCUAAUAUUAGCGCCAAAGACUUUGUCGCCUUCCAUAGCCCUCAAUAUGUUCUCAAGGAUCGGGUAAUUUUCCUUUGUGCCCUUUAUAUAUGCAUGUCUUUCGUCCACUUCAUCAGAAGAUUCAGAAGCAUGGUAUAUCUGAUGUUGAUCUUCAAUGUGUGGUUGCACAUGUGUAUGAACGAUUGAUGGAGCGAUGGUGUUGACCACAUGAUGCGCCUCAGUGGAGAAGGGUAAAGGCAUUGCCUGUAGCAUGGACUGCAUAAACCCUGGGAAUCCUUCAAACAAGGGCAUGGAACCAAGAGGUAGACCAUAAGUUGGACAUGUGGUUGGCAUAUUUCUUACAUGUUGGGGUUCAGUGUAGGACCGGAGACCUUUGAGACAACCCUUGCUUGAGGAGUGUCCAACUUGGAUGACAGAGAUUGAGUCAUAUCCAUGAUCUAACCCAUAUUUCCUCUUAGGUCACCGAGUUCUAAACUCAUCUUUUCUAGUUCUUGUUCUUAAUCAGUCACCCUUUGACGAGCGUUGGCUCGAGAGUUGUAGUGGUGUUGAGGACUCAUGGUGGAACUUGAGGAAGAAAGAUGAAGUGAGCUUUUAUUUUUAAAAAUGCAUGAAGAUGGAUAUUGAUACAUGAAAAUAAAUUUUUGGUUAUUUAGGAAAAUGAUAUGCAUGCAUGCUGAUGAAAUGCGAUUUUCUUUGAAUUUUGGUAGGUAAAGAAAAUGCCAUGCAAAUAUAUAGUUAGGAUCCGGGAUCACAUGAGUAAAUCAGAAUAUCCUACUAGGUAAGUUUCCCUAUAUCAGAUAGUUAUAUGCUUUCUACCCAUUAACCGCUCAUGGGAUAGUUUCUAGGUUGAUGGAUAAGGUUCUCAGAGUCACGGACUAUAAUCAUAUCAACAACAUGCAACAGGAUAUUCGUUUUAGGACAAGAGUGAUGAAAAAUUCUAUUCUGAGUGGGGUUUUCAUGUUAGGCGCACAAGGAGUGGCCCUUGGAGACUAAUAUUAUGUAACCUCCAAAGCAGAAACAUGUUAGGCGCAGCGGAAUUUAAAAAUUUCUCCAUUUAGUGAUCCUUACGAAUGGGCAUGAUCAGUGAUAGAAUCGUUACCUCUUGUGGCGAUUCAAAUCUUUGGUGCAGAUCUCUGACAAUGAUCAAAACCUUUGAUACAGAUCCACAGGGCGAUCACGAACGUUGAACGAUGACAACGUCUCUACUCAGUCCACACGAACGGAUUCCUUCAAUCGCAGUGCUAGCUAUUAUGAAUGAAGGCUUUGAGUGAGAGAAAGAGGGAAACUAAAUUCCAAGUCUCUACUUGAAUUUCUGUCUGAGUGGAGUCAAGUCACAAUGCUUCUACCCAAGGGGUUCUAUUUAUAGAACCACUUGUGUGGGCUUCAAGCUAAAAAGCCCACUUAAGUGUAUUUUGGCCCAUAUCUUAUAAUAUGCCCAAAAUCACUUAAGUAUUUGCGUACCUUACCAUAUUUCUUCUCCCACUUAAGUGCACCGUACCUUACGGUGUUCCUUAGUUACUCUAUCUCUCAUCAAUCCGUCCUUUGUGUGUGACCCUAUAGGGUUCGCGCGUUGGCAUUAUAUCAAAUCACGCAUUUAACAUAAUAAACAGUGAGCGGUAUCUAGCAACACAUCCUGCUACCAAGUCACGAAAAUAUCAUGUGAUCUGACAAAACCUCCUAUUAAUAAUUAUGUGUAUAAUACCCUUUGCCUUAUGUCUAUAUUGAACACAAGGUAUAGACCUUGUCACCCUUGUCCAGUUCAAUAUUGGGCCCAUAGACAUUUAUCGUGUUACGCAGGAUGGGCAAAUUCCAUCUAGGACACUCAUGUCCCUCAGCAUGCGUUGUGGAGUACCUCAACUGUCUUUAUGGUUAUCCAGUUACGGACAACGUUGGAUCAGCAAUAAAGCACUCGACUCUACAUCUAGGAUCCAUAGUGGUUUCAGGUCGAAGAGUGGUAUACACUAUUAUCACCAUGAGAAUAACUUAUGACACUUUGCAUAACUUUCUAUAUAGUAUUCUCAUAGCGGUCAAUCCGGUAUAAAUAUUACUCCUAAUUAUUCAUACCUAUGUUUAAGACUUGAUAACUCUUUAUCCAUGAUCCAUGAGAUGUGAUCAUCAGUCUACAAAGAUAAUAGUCUUAAUGCUUUAAUGUUAUCCCACUUCACACUAAAGCUCGGCUACGGAUACUUUAAGAAUAAUGUCCUUAUGUUUAAUGUGUUAUCAUGAUUAAGUCACACUUAAUACAUUAAAUGGACUAUCUAUUCCAGGGACUUUAUUAAUCAACCAUAAUAAAGAAAAUGCCUUUAAAUAAUUCGAUACAAGUACCAAAAGUAUUGGCUUCUAGGGCUUACACCAACAAUGGACCCUUCAUGAAUCAACAUUAUGUGAUAGGCUAGCCAUCUUAUAACGAGAUCUACGAAUAGGUCUACUCUAUAGGGAGUCUUCAUGUUAGGCAUGCAAGGAGUGACCCUUGUGGACUAACACUACACAUCUUCUAAUUUUAAACUAUAUGUUCUCUCUUCUUUUUCCAAAACUUGGGUGUAGAGUUUUACUCAUGAUAAAGACAAAGAAAAAAAGGAAAGUAAAUAAGAAAACAAAGAAUAAGAAAACAAUUAAAUAAAGGAAAUAUUUAUUGCAUGGUUAACUAAGUUAGGCUUGACUCUCUCUUGCAUGGAGCAUAUUUCUCAGCAAAGUCUCUAUCUAUCGUACCUUGAAAAAUAUGAUCCUUUGCGAAGUGCAUCGCACGCUCACGGAAAAAUGUUUGAACAGAGUCACCACCAAACUUUAUUUAAUCCAAUGAAGGAAAAUGGAAAUAUCGAUAAAACCUUUGAAAAGAACAUGGUCGUCGCAACCAUAUUUGUGUUCGGGAGUCGGUUACACAAGGGGAAGGUAUUAACAUCUCUCACGUCCGUUGCACUCAACGGGAACCUUUUAGUUAGAUUUACGAUUUGAAUGUUAGCUUAUAUCAUCUAUUUUCUUUGAAUUAUUAAAAGAUAAAAGAGAAAAAGAAAGGGGUUGCAAAAACGUUUUUUAUUAAUGUGCCUGACAAGAUUGUGGGUCUUGCUCCUACGUAUCUCCGGCUACGAUGGAGAACUCAUGGCAUACGUAGUUAUGGUUAGAAAAAUGUUUGUUUGUUGGUCUAUUUUAGCAAAAUCUAUUUUGUGUCAAUCGACAGAAGAACAUUGCUUGCUACCUAAAACAGGCGAGGGGCGGGCGUUUGCAUCACGUUGAAUUGAUUUCUACAUAUCAACAUUCACGGGAAAAAGUGACGUAUCUUAACUCACAUAUGUGGAUCAAGCGUUGUUUUGUAUCGUCUCGAGAUGAAAUAUCUUUCAUUUUGAAAAAGGUUUUUGAGGAUCGCAUGGUGGCGAGAAAAAGAGUUUGAUUGUUUGAAUUUGUUUUAGGUGAAUGACAACCGCUCGACGAGAACGAGACAUAAGCCUCAGUGAAGCUAGGGGAAAUAUACCCGAACACAUCGCACGCUCGAACAUACAACAGAGUUGCUAUCGAACUUUAUUUAUUCCCGAAGGAAAGGGAAAACAUCGAUAAAACCCAAGGGAAAUAGAAAAUGGAUAAGGAAGUUAGUUAUGCAAGUGGAGGGUAUAAGCACCCCUCACAUCCGUUGUACUCAACGAGAACCGUUUCGAUUGUUCUUUGCUCAGAUGGGUGUUACAUCUAAAGAUUACUUGCAAAAGGAUAAGGAAAAAGAAAAUAAUAAAUAAAGUGCUCAAUGAGGAUUAGGUCCCUCAUGCCUCUGUAUCCUUAUAAUGCAAUAAGGAAUUCAAAGCUCCGUAGUUUAUAAAACUAAUGGUGGGAGAUGAAAGAAGAGUGAUAAAGGUAUGGUUUGAACCAAAGGAUAGUGUGUCCUGAACCCAUAGGGUAUGUAUAUUUGAACCCAAAAGGAAAGCUAGCAUAUGGCCAAAAAAGAAAGGUAUUUGCCUAUAUAAGGACUUACAUGAACAUGAAAGGAAGUGUAUGUCUAUACAAGACAUGCAACUCUUGGAUCAAAUAUGGGCAUUGGUUAUUGGCCCAAAAAUAUGUAUGGAGCUCAAAGAAAUAAUGUAUUUGGCUCAAAGAGAGAGUAUACCACAUGGGAUGAAUGAAGGUAAAAGAUAUUAAAUAAAGUUAGUGGAUAGUGAAUAAUGGAAUAUGAAUGGUAGGAUAGAGAGAAAUAAUCAGGGUAGGAGGAAUUGAAAGAUUAGGUAAAAAUGACAUAAGGUAUAAUUUGGAACCAAAGGAUAAAGGUGUAGUUGGAAUUUGUAAAGGGGAUGAAAUUGUUGGUGUAAGCCCUAGAGGCCAAUACUUUUGGUACUUGUAUCGAAUAAUAAAAAGGCAUUUUCUUUAUUAUGGUUGAUUAAUAAAGUCCCUAGAAUAGAUAGUCCGUUUAAUGUAUUAAGUGUAUUUAAGUGUGACUUUAAUCGUGAGAACACAUUACACAUAAGAGGCACUAUUCUUAAAGUAUCCAUAGUCGAGCUUUAGUGUGAGUGGGAUACAUUAAGCAUUAAGACUAUUAUCUUGUAGCUGAUGAUCACAUCUCAUGGAUCAUGGAUAAAGAGUUAUCAAGUCUUAAACUAGGUAUGCAAUAUUAGAGUAAUAUUUAUACCGGAUUGACCCGCUAUGAGAUACUAUUAUAGAUGUUAUGCAAAGUGUCAUAAGUUAUUCUCAUGGUGAUAAUGGUGUAUACCACUCUUCGACCUGAACUGAAACCACUAUGGUCCUAGAUGUAGAGUCGGUUGCUUUAUGCUGAUCCACGUUGUCGUAACUGGAUAACCAUAAAGACAGUUGAUGGGUCCUACGAGCAUGCUGAGGACAUGAUGACCUAGAUGGAAUUUGCCCAUCCUGCAUAACAGGAAAUGUCUAUGGGCCCAUAUUGAACUGGACAAGGAUGACACGGUCUAUGCCUGUGUUCAAUAUAGAGAAUAAGGGCAAAAGGUAAUUAUAUACAUUAAUUUUUCAGAUGGUUUUGUCAGAUCACAUGAAUUUUCGUGUCUCGGGUAGCAGUGAUGGUUGCUAGAUACCGCUCACUGUUUAUUAUGGUAAAUGCGUGAUUUAAUAUAAUGCCAACGUCACGAAAACCUACAGGGUCACACACAAAGGACGGAUUGAUGAGAGAUAGAGUAACUAAGGAAUACCGUAAGGUACGGUGCCCUUAAGUGAAUUAUAGAACAUCGUAAGGUACGGUGUACUUGAGUAGAAUACGAAAUAUGGUAAGUACCAUGGGCUUAAGUGAUUUUGGGCAUAUUAUAAGAUAUGGGCCAAAAUACACUUAAGUGGGCCUUUUAGCUUGAAGCCCACACAAGUGGUUCUAUAAAUAGAACCCUUGUGCAGAGCAUUAAUAGCGUUGCAUUAUUUUCGUUUUUCUCACUCUCUCUUCAUCAAAGCCUUCAUUCGUACCAGCUAGCACUGAGAUUGAAGGAACCCGUUCGUGUGGACUGAGUAGAGACGUUGUCAUCGUUCAACAUUGUGAUCGCUUGUGAUCUGCAUCACAAAGUUUUGAUCGUCACAAGAGAUCUGCACCAAAGGUUUCAAUCGUCGGAAGAGGUAAAUAUUCUAUCACUGAUCAUGACCAUUCGUAAGGAUAUCUAAGGGAAAAUUUUAAUUUUCGUGCGUUUUGGACCGCAAUUCUCCUUCAGUGGUAUCAGAGCCACUACGAAACCAUGACUCGGAUAGCUAUUUAUUUUCUGUAUUAAUAUGAUUAAAAGACAGAAUGAAUCAAUUAAUUAAAGGGUAUUAAAUUUGGCAUCAUGAGUGUACGAGUUGGAUGAUUGAUGUUGACUUAUGCUUCGGUACACAUUAGUAUGGUGAAGCAGCGAUACAUCGAUCGUCCAUAGGUUACGCAAUUGAGACCGAUCAGCUUAUAUAUGAUAUAAGUAUCCUAAUGCAAAGUACGGUAUAUAGUGAUUUACCGUUUCUGUUUCGUUCUAUUCAACACUAAGUGGUUGUUUUCUUUGACGAUCAAUGGUCAUUUGCUUCGAAAUCCGACAUUAGUAUGGUGAGCAAUGACCUGUUGAUCAAUCAUACUGAAUCAAUAAUCGAGGUGUGUUUGACGGUCUGAAAUUGGGCAUUAGGUUGGUGACGGCGCAAGGGUUGUGCCGUCAAGGAGUUGUGAAUUUAGGUUUUGAACAGGUCUGUGACUGUUUCAAAGUUCUGUUAUUUUGGAUGCGUAACGGUCGUAACAAGACGCGUGACGUUCGUACAGACCAUGACGGUCGUAACAAGGACGUGACGGUCGUCACAUGCUCACAGAUCCAAAUUGUAGGCCGUUUUGUUUUGGCCCCGUGACGGUCUAAAUGAUGCCUGUGACGGUCGUAACAUGCUUGUGAACCUGUGACGUCUGUAAUCCGGUACGUCCACUCACAGGGUCAGAAUUCUUGGGGUUUCUGUUUUGUGACUACGCAGGUUGUGUCAUGCAAAACAAUGUCAUUUCAAAUGAAUUGUUCAUUAAAUUUGGACAGGGUGCUGCCCUCCAACCCCGGCUAACUCUGCGUAGUGUGAUCGGUCGCCCGAAAUUUAUUGGUUUAAUUAAUUAAAGGAAUUAAAUUAAUAAUAAUAAUGUGUUUUUAUUAUUGCCUUGUGGUGAUCAGUUAUGGCCUUAGUCUUCCUUCAUUUUGUUGGGUUUUUAAAUACGACCUGCGUGUCGUGCCUCUCCUUUGAUCUCUUAAUGUACUUCUUUUCUCAUCUCAAACCCUCGUAUCUAAACGAGUUUCUUCUGUAAUGUAAUGAGAAGAAAGAAGACAAUGUUAUGAGAAAGAGAGGAAUAAUUCAUUCAAAGGAGGACAACCUUGAGAUCUUGCUUGGAGAGCUUAGAGAAGAAUUCAAUAUCAAGGAGGAUAACCUUGAAGAUCUUGCUUGGAGAAGCUUAGAUUGUUAUUAGGUUAGCUUAGGUUCUCUCAUUGGCUUGUGAGAACAAUUGCGUAGCGGGCCAUAACUGUUUCAUUGUGUAUGUAUUUGAUGAUGUUAUGUAUUUGAUGCAUGAGAAUAUGUGUUGAUGCAUGUGAGAGACGUUUGUAUGAUAAUAAAGAGGUGAGAUCAUAAAUGCAAUUUCCUCAAUUAAAUAUUAAGUUUAUGCUUCAGUUUUAACACUCAUCAAGACUAGUAAUGGAUAAUGUAGGUUCGCCUACGCGAGGUGCAUGAUCUUAUAAUUAGUAAGGUGCGAUGGAUAAUUGUAAUAUCCACUGUUAACAAUGGGUCAAACUUAAUAAACAAAUUUGAGAAUAUAUAUGUUUGCUUUCCAAGUUUAGCACUCAUCAGACUGGUAUCGAUAAUAGUAGGUUUCGCCUACGCGAGGUGCUGUUUGUAUUAGUCAAGGUGCGAUGGAAUUGUAAUAUCCAACUGCUAAACGAUGAGUCAACUUAAUUAUAUUCUAUAUAUUGUUUAGAGCAAGAGUUGGGAAUAAUCCAUUAUGGGAUUGGAAAGGAGUUAUUCACCAACUGAAAUUUUCAGAGGUUGUAUGAGAUACAACUGGAAGGAGUUCCUACCUAAAUAACCAGUUUGUGUAAUCGCCUACGCGACGGGACUAGAACGAAGGAAUAUGCGGCUCGACCCACAGAAAUCUUCCCAACGGGACUAUUUGCCGAAUCAAAUGUGAGGUCAUUUGUUUUGAGUAAACUAGUGGAAGCAUAUUUUGAUUAAAGGCCUAAUUAAAUAUUCAUAUACUUAUUUUUCUUUAAUCCUUAUAGUAGGAUAACCAUGACAACAAAACAUUAACAAACAUCUUGCGAUCAAUCCUUGACAAGGAACAUUCUCUGGGACAAUUCCUGGUAUGCAACCGACCUGAGGAUUGUCUCAAACAUGAUAAAGCUGGUAUGUCUUGGAGACACCUAGUUCCUGAAGAGGAACUUCCUGAAUUCUGCACCUAAGGCAGAAAGAGCAUGCUUAUAAGAAGCAUGUCGAUGAAAUGCCCAAUGAACUGCUUGUCUCAUUGCUGGCUACAUGAACUCAGAAUUGCAAAACAACAUGAGAACAUGGUACGCGUUCGAUAUGAUCGAACACCUGAAGUCUUUCAAGAGCGAAGCAAGCAUGAGAGGUUUGAGUUUCAAAGCCCCUUUUCAAAGCAAGUUAGCUGAGGAGCCUGUGUAGGUUCCCCAUUACUCAAUAUUUGGGGUAUGUGGAAACCUUGAUAGAUUGUUUUCCCUCGAAAGAACUUGGUGACUUUGAUUUGAUCUUGCAACGUGACCAGAUUGUCAGUCAAUUCGUCCAAUUUUCAUAUGAUUGAUAUGGAUAAAUCUCUUCCUGAACUUGCUCGCCAUGUUAAGACUGCCGGCAGAAUCUGAAGUCAAAGGGAGUCCAUUAUGAUAUCGGAAUGGAAGAGCAGACAAAGGCACCAAGCAGGGUGAUCAAAGGGAAAGCAAGGAGGUGUCAACCAGACCCACUGUUGCUGCUUUAAAGACCUGUGAAGGCUGCAAGAAGAAGGGCACCUCUUUCCAUAUGUUUUUUCAUGUAAGACCGGCACUGGAGAGGAACUGCCCAAAAGUACCUUGGAAGAAAGAAGAAUGGAAGUAGAGACUUCACUCAGGUAUUUUGUUAUUAACUUAAUCUACUUUACUGCAUCAUGGUAUAGGAUAUUGAUGCGCGGUGCUCACAUUGUCACAAAUGUGCAGGGACUGAAAGAGGAAGUAAGAGAUAUUCGGCAAAAAGUGAGUUGACCUCGCUGGCAAUGGAAGCAGGUAUAGACCUACUCUUAGCGCUAAGGAUUUAUGUAUUGACUAAUUACCUAGUAGCCGUUUUAAAAUCAGUUACAGAGAACUGUAUACGGUACCUCAAUUAGCAGGAGAUUAAUAGCAUUUCUUGUUUGCAUUUAUUUCUUCUUAUAUAUACCAAGACAUUGUGACGUCAUUUAUCUGAAUAAGAACUAGGAUUCUAAUGCUACUGCACAAUGAAACGCAAUGAAACUAUAUGUCCAUUGAUCUCGAAUAGCAUACUUAAUCCAUGCUAAAUACUAAACAAGGGUGAAAACCAAACGAGUUCUAAAACACACUAAAGGUAAAGAAUAAUUAAAAAUACUAAUCUGAUACAAGAUCAGAGGUGAACGUGAGUAUUUACGCGCAUAGCGUUGAAACAGACCAUCUGAACGAGCAUAGUGGAGAUACCAACUACUCAACCAACUCAUCCCUCAUAGGAAACACCCCAAUGCGACAAUCGGAAAUGAUAUACUGAGAGAGAACAUCGACCCUUUUAACAUGUACAGCUCCAAAUGAUGCAGUUCACGCCGAAUUUCCAAAAAUCCAUCUUCGGGACAUAGCAACUAAUGUAGACCAAGCAAUUUCACAACGACCUUAACAUGUUCAAUCCAAAAAGGACUUGAAGAGAACACAUAUGAAGAUAAUAGGCAAUGAUAGAACCACCAUCAAUGUAGUUUAAACAAUAAGAUUUGGAAACAGUCUGCCAGAGUUUAUGUGAAACCGACAAAAUUUCAACUAAGGACGUAGAGCCCAAAUUGCAAAUGCCUUAAUAUUGUAGAGGAGUAUCACUAAAGACACAAGAGGAUUUCCUUCUACAAAAUCACUUAACUGAAAGGACAAAAUGUUUGAACUCGCCUCAACAGGAGAAAGUCUUUCCAUAGAACAGGAAUUUUAAUUUCCAAGACACAGUCGGGAAGCUAGAGCUUAAGAAGAAUUACAGAACUCAAAAAAGCAAUCAGAACACCUAAUGACAGAGGAUUGGAGAAGCUAGUUGAUUGUCACGAGCACCAAAAAAACAACACACAUGCCUAAGUAGACAAGCCAGCGUCAUAGUUAAUAGGCAGGUACUCACCUAACUGAGUUAUGAGCAUCAACGGUGAUAGAAUCUCAUGGAUCAGAUGAGGCUGUCCUACUCAUGGAGAUCUUCGUUUGAUGAUAGGUAAACAAUAUGGAUUCUCAAGAACGAAGAGGAGCCGUGUGUCUACAAGAAGGUUAGUGGGAGCAUGAUCGUAUUCCUGGUAUUAUAUGUAGAUGACAUAUUACUCAUUGGAAACGAUAUCCCUACCCUGCAACAAGUAAAGUCUUGGGUGGGGAAAUACUUUUCUAUGAAGGACCUAGGUGAAGCAGCCUAUAUAUAUUAGGAAUCAGAAUCUAUAGAGAUAGAUCAUAAAAUGCUUGGCCUAAGUCAGAGUACAUAGACAAGGUGCUGAAACGCUUUAAUAUGAAUGAUUCCAAUGGUUAUGUGUUUUGCUGAAAUGGUGGCGUUGUGAGCUUGAAAAGUUCAAAGCAAGAUACAGUUGCUGAUUCUACAACCGAGGCCGAGUGUAUUGCUGCCUCAAAUGCAGAAAAGGGAGUUGUUUGGAUCAAAAGUUCAUUAGUGAACUUAGCAUAGUCCCUAGCAUUGUGGAUCCCAUUGGUCUCUAUUAUGAUAACAAUGGUGCUAUCGCACAAGCUAAGAAGCCUAGAUCUCACCGACGAUCCAAACACAUACUUAGGCGUUAUCAUCUCAUUCGAGAGAUAAUAGAUAGAGGAGAUGUGAAAAUAUGUAAUAUACCUACACUUGACAAUAUAGUUGACCCACUGACAAAGCCUCUUGCGCAGCAGAAGCAUGAUGGCCAUACUAGAUCAAUGGGCAUACGGGGUAUGCCUGAUUGGCUCUAGUGCUAGUGGGAGAUUGUUGGUGUAAGCCCUAGAGGCCAAUACNCUGAUCCAUGAAAGUUGUAAUAGUCUAAAUUCAUCUUUCUUUUAUCGCUUUCAUUGCAUGCUAAUUAAAAGAUAAAAUUAAAUGAUAAAUAAAUCUUUUUCAGAAAAAAAAAACACACUUGAUCCUGUCAAGUAUUUCCAAAUAAAUCAAAUCAAUGCAACGCGAGUGCUUGAUCCAAUUUCAAGUAUCUCUCUCCAUUCCAUAUCCUAUCUUUAUCCGAUUCUCAUGCAAUUCUUCUAUUUCUUUAUCUCAUUCUAUCUUGAUCGAUUCCCACUCAUCAAAUUUUAUAGUAAAACUUGGAGAAAAAUGGGUGUAACUUGUGCAAACAUUCAAGUACUUGGUUGUGGUCGUACAUAGCUUGGGGCCUCGAUGCUUGACUUCGUUUUAAACACUUAAUCUAUAAACAUGAGUCCAAAUCGUUACUCUAAGAGUUAAAGAGUGGUUAGAUGAAGUUGUCCUCUCAACUCACAAAUACUCGAUUGUCGUCGUACUGAUAGCCGAUGUUGCGACACCCGACUUCCUCUAUACUAAUGGUUAACUCUAAAAUAAAUUCGUUAAUUACUAAAUCAACUCCAAAUUUCUAUCUACUUGCGGUACUCUUACCUGUUCAUCCUUACCCUUUGUCAAUAUCCUGGAAUAUCACUUUCAUUUCUCAACAAUUGUUGAAUUAUUCUUCUUGGAAGAAAAUCCUUAUCCAUUUGAUUCUAUACAUAUCCUUUUGUGGGCCAAUAACUAAUGCCCACCUUUAAUCAAGAUUUUUGUAUUGUAACAAACAUUUCAUUCCUUCUUUUUUGCCAAUAUGCCUAUUUACUCUUCUAUUUAGAAUUUAUCCUUCAUGAUUCACAUACCAUUUAUAUUUUGGUUUCAGAUAGUCUGCUCCCCCACAGUGAUUAAUAUUUCCUUGACCAACACCAUAUUCCUUUGGGUCAUAUCAUAUCCUUUUUGGGCAAAUAACCAGUGCCCAUUAUGAACCAAAAUAUGUUUGUCUUGAUGACCAAACUUCAUUCCUUUCUUUUUGGCCAAUAGCUUGUUUACUCUUUGGUUCAAAGUUCAUUACCUUUAUGGUUCCAAUGCUACAUUGUAUUUUGGUGCAGUAUAUUUCAUCACUAUAUAAUAAAUUAAUAUUUCUGCUUGUUCCGCAUAAUUUUUCAUUAAUACAAACUCUGACUUUCUCAUUGCACCAAUGAGAAACGUAGCACAGACUUAGAACCCUUGAUAGCCAAUCAUAUUAUUCAUUUCUUCCUUAUUACUCCAUCUAUAUCUUUGUGAUCCAUAAUCUAUUUUCAAUCAUAACCAUCCAUCUCAGUACAUAUGUCUUUCUCGACCAAAUACCAAUAUUCCUUCAAUAUCCAUACUUACCCUUUGCCAAUAAACAAGCUACAUUUGCAUAAAGAGUGUUUAUCUUGUGCCAACAUUUAUUCUUCUUUUUUCGCAAUUGCCUACUUUCCUAGUUGGUGCAAAUUUUGAAGAGAAUUGCGUCCAAAACGCAGCGGAAAUUAAAAUUUUCUCCUUUAGAGAUCCUUACGAAUGUCAUGACAUUAAAUAUUUACCUCUCUCGACGAUUGAAACCCUGUGCAGAUCUCUUGUGACGAUCAAAACUUUUGAUGCAGAUCCACGAGCGAUCACGAACGUUGAACGAUGACAACGUCUCUACUCAGUCCAACGAACGAGUCCUCAAUCUCAGUGCUAGCUGGUACAAUGAAGGCUUUGAGUGAGAGAAGAGAUGAGAAAACGAAAAUAAUGCAACCGCUAUUAAUGCUUCUGCACAAGUUCUUUAUAGAACCACUUGUAUGAGCUUCAAGCUAAAAGACCCACUUAAGUGUAUUUUGCCCAUAUCUUAUAAUAUGCCCAAAAUCACUUAAGCCCAUGGUACUUACCAUAUUGUUCUACUCAAGUACACCGUACCUUACGAUGUCUUAAUUCACUUAAGGGCACCGUACCUUACCGUAUUCUUAGUUACUCCUAUCUCUCAUCAAUCUCCUUUGUGUGUGACCCUGUAGUUUUCGUGACGUUUGGCAUUAUAUUAAAUCACGCAUUUAACAAAUAAACGUGAGCGGUAUCUAGACACACUCACUGACGACCCAAACACGAAAACAUGUGAUCUGACAAAACCAUCCUGUGAAAUAAUCAUGUGUAUAAUUACCUUUGCCCUUAUGUCUAUAUUGAACACAAGGCAUAGACCGUGUCAUCCUUGUCCAGUUCAAUAUUGAGCCCAUAGACAUUUAUCUGUUAUGCAGGAUGGGCAAAUUCCAUCUAGUCACUCAUGUCCCUCAGCAUCUCGUGAGAUACCCAUCAACUGUCUUUAUGUUAUCCAGUUACAGACAACUGGAUCAGCAAUAAAGCACUCGACUCUACAUCUAGAUCCAGUGGUUUCAGGCGAAGAUGAUACACCAUUAUCCCCAUGAGAAUAACUUAUGACACGUUGCAUAACAUUCUAUAUAGUAUUCUCAUAGCGGGUCAAUCCGGUAUAAAUAUUACUCCUAAUAUUCAUACCUAUGUUAAACUUAUAACUCUUUAUCCCAUGAUCCAUGAGAAUGUAUCAUCCGUCUACAAACAUAAUAGUCCUUAAUGCUUAAUAUUUUUCCCACUUCACACUAAAGCGCGACUACGGAUACUUUAAGAAUAAUGCCCUUAGUUAAUGUGUUCUCAUGAUUAAGUCACACUAAUACAUUAAAGGAAUAGACUAUUCUAGCGACUUUCUUAAAUCAACCAUAAUAAGAAAAUACAUUUUACUAUUCGUCACAAUACCAAAAAGUAUGCCCUCUACGCUCUACACAACAUCGUAAGGUACGGUGUACUUGAGUAGAAUACGAAAUAUGGUAAGGUACCAUGGGCUUAAGUGAUUUUGGGCAUAUUAUAAGAUAUGGGCCAAAAUACACUUAAGUGGGUCUUUUAGCUUGAAGCUCAUACAAGUGGUUCUAUAAAUAGAACCCUUGUGCAGAAGCAUUAAUAGCGGUUGCAUUAUUUUCGUUUUUUCUCACUCUCUCUCUCACUCAAAGCCUUCAUUCGUACCAGCUAGCACUGAGAUUGAAGGAACUCGUUCGUGUGGACUGAGUAGAGACGUUGUCAUCGUUCAACGUUCGUGAUCGCUUCGUGGAUCUGCAUCAAAAGUUUUGAUCGUCACAAGAGAUCUGCACCAAAGGUUUCAAUCGUCGGAAGAGGUAAAUAUUCUAUCACUGAUCAUGACCAUUCGUAAGGAUCUCUAAAGGAGAAAAUUUUAAUUUCCGCUGCGUUUUGGACCGCAAUUCUCCUUCAGAAAUUUGCACCACAUAGGAAAGUAGGCAUAUUGGCCGAAAAGAAGAAGAAAUAAAAUGUUUGGCAUCAAGAUAAACAACUCUUUAUGCAAAUGUAGGCAUUGUUUAUUGGCCCAAAGGGUAAGUAUGGAAUCUUGAAGGAAUAUGGUAUUUGGUUCAGAGAAAGACAAUAUGUCACUGAGAUGGAUGGUUAUGAUUGAAAAUAGAUUAUGGAUCACGAAAGAUAUGAAUGGAUCCCUAAGGAAGAAGAUAGAAUAAUUAUGAUUGGCUCAUCAAGGGUUCUAAGUCUUGUGCCUACGUAUUCUCAUUGUGCAAUGAGAAAGUCAGAGUUUCGUAGUUCAUGGAAUUAAUGCGGAACAAGGACAGAAAUAUUAAUUUGAUAAUAAGUGAUGAAAAGUAUAACUUGCACCAAAAUACAAUGGUAGCAUUGGAACCCAUAAAGGUAAAUGAACUUUGAACCAAAGAGUAAACAUGCAUAUUGGCCAAAAAAGAAAGGAAUGAAGUGUUUGGCAUCAAGACAAACAUAUUUUGGUUCAUAAUAUGGGCACUGGUUAUUUGCCCAAAAAGGAUAUGUAUAUGACCCAAAGGAAUAUGGUGUUUGGUCCAAGGAAAUAUUAUAUCACUGUGGGGGAGCAGACUAUCUGAAACCAAAAUAAAAUGGUAUGUUGAAUCCAUGAAGGAAUAAAUUCUAAAUAGAAGAGUAAAUAGGCAUAUUGGCCAAAAAAGAAAGGAAUGAAAUGUUUGUUGACAAUACAAAAAACUCUUGAUUUAAAGGUGGGCAUUAGUUAUUGGCCCACAAAAGGAUAUGUAUAGAAUCCAAAUGGAUAAGGUAUUUUAUUCCAAGAAAGAUAAUUCAACAUUGUUGAGAAAUGAGAAGUGAUAUUCCAGGAUAUUGGACAAAGGGGCAAGGGAGACAAUAAGAGUACCCUAAGGUAGAAGAAUAUCUUGGAGUUGAUUGUAAUUAUGAAAUUUAUUUUACGAGUUUAACCAUUAGUACUUAGAGGAAGUCGGGUGUCGAACCAUCGGCUAAGUACGACCGACAAUCAGAGUAUUUGUGAGUUGAGAGGACAACUUCAUCCUAACCACUCUUUAACUCUUAGAGUAACGAUUUGGACUCAUGUUUAUAGAUUAAGUGUUUUAAACAGAAGUCAAGCAUCGAGGCCCCAAGCUAUGUACGACCAACAACCCAAGUACUUGAAUGUUGUGCACAAGUACGUACACCCCAUUUUUCAUCCAAGUUUUACUAUGAAAAUGAUUUGAUGAGUGGGAAUCGAUCAAGGAUAGAAUGAGAUAAGAAUAGAAUGAAUUGCAUGAGAAUCGGAUAAAGAUAGGAUAUGGAAUGGAGAAAGAGAUACUUGAAAUUGGAUCAAGCACUCGCGUUGCAUUUGAUUUGAUUUAAUUUGGAAAAUACUUGACAUUGGAUCAAGUGUGUUUUUUAUUCUUUUGAAAAAGAUUUAUUUAUCAUUUAAUUUUAUCUUUUUAAUUAGCAUGCAAUGAAAGCGAUAAAAGAAAGAUGAAUUUAGACUAUUACACUUUCAUGGGAGAGGGGGACAUAUAACCCACCAUGAGGGGAUGAUAUACCAUACAAUACAAAGAUAGAAAUGGGAUCAUACAAGUUACAAACCAAGUACCAUGCAUAAAACAAUCAACUGGCAUGGUACCCCUAAGUAUUAACAAACAAUACAAAUGUAAAUGGAAGGUAAAAUACAAUGGUGAUGAUAAAGGACAUAGAGAUCAAACUUAAAGUCAAAUUAUCUAAACAAUCACACAAGGUAAUGAAGUUAGAAUGAGAUCAAACAAGGUUAAACAAGUAAUCCAAGUUCAACCCAUAGACUCUUCAUAGAAAAUCAAUAAGGAAUGGACAUUAAUCACACGUGUAUGAUAAGAAAAGGUACCUAAACAAGUCAACCACGAUAAAUUGAAAUGGCAUUUUCAAUUUCCACAAGAUAACCCUAACCCAAAUGAAAAAAUUAAAUGGAUAUUAAAGUGAGUACUGAAUUCAAUGAUCAAAAUUACCUAAACAUGAAUUAGGAAUCAAAUGGACCAUUAAAUUAAAUGUACUCAACACGGACAAUCAUGCCAAUAGUAAAAACUCUCAAUUAAAAUAUGAGUAAAAAAUUAACAAAAAUUCUAGAGAAGAUUAAUCAGAAAAAUGACCAAAUUAAAUCCUAUUUUUCAUGAUAAAAACAUUCUAAUUAUAAUAGCAUUCAUGGCAAAAAUAAUAGCACAAAAAAUAUUAUAAAAAAUGUGUAAAAAGAUCAAGAAAAGCACAAGAAAUAAAGGGGUUCAGAAACUGAAACAAGGUUGUAAUGCAAUUUGGGCGCAUGGGUCUUGUAAGCCAAAGCCCAAUUAAAAUGUAAUGCAGCUUGGGGGGUGCACUGGCCAAAAACAAAGUGUAUAGCAGUAAUUUUGGUCCAAAGCCCAUUACAAGGCCUAAAACAGAACUAACAAUCAAAGGCCAAAAACGAAAUGGAUAAGGAUAUUAAUGAGGUGAAGUGUGAGUCAAUAGAGUUUGCAUGGUCAGUUAAACGGGUAUGAUUAAAUUGCCAUGAAUGCACGCGUGAGCACAUGAAUUGACGGUCAGAUGAAUAAUGCACAUGGGAAAAAAUAAUCAAAAGGGCAAACAGAACACAACGAGUAACCAACACAUUCUCGCUCCUUCUCACUCAGUCAUUAUCUUUGUCGUGCCGGAGGCUCCCUCAGUGGCAGAGAUUCCCCAUAAAUCCCAAUUUUCAAUGCCAAUCUCUCUCUCUCAACCUCUACUUACCGAAGCCAAAAAUUGUUUCCUCCAAUUUCUACACACUCAACCAAAUCGAGCAAUUUUGGCCAAGAACACUAAAUCCUAUAACUUAAAUUAAAUCACAACCAAGCCUCAAAUUGUUCCAAAACCAAAGGGUACCACUCUCCUACCUCUAAACAAUCACUUGGUAACGAAAAUUGGAAAGAAAAAGAUGAAAUUUAGAAGACCUUAUCGGAGCAGAUCGGAGAUGAAGACGAAAACGGAAACUGGGUGUGCUGUAAUCCUUUUCUAUUCUGCUUCUUCUCUCUUCUUUGGUCUUCUUCUUAUCUCUUCUUCAUAUGUUAUUGCUAUUCUUCUAGUGAGGAUGAUUGAGAGUGAAUAGUAGUGAUUGUUGAAAAAUUUAUGAUUGCUCUGAUUGCGUCAAUUUUUGUGACUGGAAUGAAUAGGUGAUGAUUGUUCUGUGUGAUUCUGUGUGUGAUUGAUUGUGUGAGUGAUUAAUCUUAUGAUUGUGUGAUUCUAUGAUUGAGAGAGUAUAAAGAGGGAUUCAAUGAUAAAAUGAUUGGUUAAGUGAUUGAGUGUGUGAUUGUGUGAACUUUUCCACCUCCUUAAUAAUGAAUGAUGAAGAUCAUUUAUAGGGAAAAUGAGUCUUAAUAGAGUUUCUUUAAUUAUGUUCAGUUCUGAAUGUGCACGUUAGUUGAGUCAACUAACUCUGUUAGGCUUCAGAAUUUGUACCCAAAUUUAGUUUGCUAUAACAGUUUGUUAGGGUAUUUUGUUUGUUGUUAUUAUUUAUUUUAUUAUGAUAGUUGUUGAAUGAUUAGUUAGUUACAAUUUUGUUAGAUUUUAGUUAGUUAGUUGUUGUUAUGGCAUGAUUUCUGUUAGGUUAUGAUUCAGUUAGUUGGUGGGAUUAAUGAGUGAAUAUAUUAGUAACUGUUAUAAGAAUACUGUUAUGUUAUAUGUUGAGUUGUUACGACUGAACUCUAUUAAGUAUUUUUCACCCUUGAAUUUCCCUGCUGCUGUUAUACCCUAUUAUUGUUAUGCUUGAUUAUGAAUUUUCGUGCCAUUUUCGUGGACAUAUCUGCUAUGGGCCUUCUCAUUGUUGGGUUGCAACUUGUUGUGAAUUCAUGGUUGUUUAUGUUGAGUUAUGUGUUGGAUAUGAAUGGCUUGCAUUCCCUGAUGUUUAACAUGUUAUGUUGCUGCUAAAGGUGAAAUGUUAUGAUGUUUUGUUGUUUGAAAUGUGUGGAAAUAUGAAUGCAUAGCCUGAUGUUAUAUGAUAUAUGAAUGUUUGUUAUUUCUAAUGUGAUGAAUUUUUUAUGUAUGGACUGUUGUAUGAGCUGCUAUGAGGCUAUGAAUUUGUUGUCAUGGAUGUACAUGAAGAAUGGUUGUUAAUGUGAAUCAAAUAAUGCCAUGCUUGUUUGGUAAUGAUGCUAUGAAUUUUGGGUCAUGUGUGGUAUGUUUUAAUGGUGUUAAUGAUUCAUCAUUGCUUAGAAUAUUUUGCAGGGCUGAAACAUGUGUGCUUGCAUUGCAUUGACCAUGAUUGAAGCUUGGCAUGGAGGUUCAUGAUGGGAACUUAAAGAAAUCCAAAGGUUACCUGUUCAUGAAGAAAUGUGCUUGGUUAUGGAAUCAAAUGGAAAGAAAUAAAGAGAAUGAAGAAUCAAGGGUCAUUAGGGUUAGGGAUGUGGAAAUUAGGUUAGUUGACUCUUUAGUCAACUGGUUAACCAAAAAAUCAACAAUUGACCAAAAGUCAAUUGUAGGUCAAACUUUGAUUUUUUUUUGUAAUUUUUAUAUGGAACUUUGUAAAUAGUGAUUAUAUUAUAAAAUAGACAAUAUUUUGAAUGAGAUGGUCUUUUAUGAUUCAAAGAAA
Molecule: long non-coding RNA, 29301 nt
Filed under: Lathyrus oleraceus (garden pea)
Lineage: Eukaryota; Viridiplantae; Streptophyta; Magnoliopsida; Fabales; Fabaceae
Description: Pisum sativum (pea) long non-coding RNA (PSAT_LNC020463)
Source: RNAcentral